ACUCAAAUGAAUUGACGGGGACCCGCACAAGCGGUGGAGCGUGUUGUUUAAUUGGAUGCUAAGCCAAGAACCUUACCAAGAUUUGACAUCCUUGGAAUUACUUCGAAAGAAGUGAGUGCCUUCGGGAACCAAGUGACAGGUGUUGCAUGGCCGUCGUCAGCUCGUGUCGUGAGAUGUUAGGUUAAGUCCUUCAACGAGCGCAACCCUUAUGGAUAGUUGGAUUUUUCUAUUCAGACUGCCCCGGUAACGGGGAGGAAGGAGGGGAUGAUGUCAGGUCAUUAUUACCCUUACAUCUUGGGCUACAAACGCGCUACAAUGGCCGGUACAAUGGGCAGCCAAGUCGUGAGACGGAGCUAAUCUCAUCAAAGCCGGUCCCAGUUCGGAUUGCAGGCUGAAACUCGCCUGCAUGAAGUCGGAAUCGCUAGUAAUCGCAGGUCAGCACACUGCGGUGAAUACGUUCCCGGGUCUUGCACACACCGCCCGU
RNAcentral lists this ribosomal RNA (484 nucleotides) under uncultured bacterium. RNAcentral's name for it is "partial 16S ribosomal RNA". It matches the Rfam family "Bacterial small subunit ribosomal RNA", at positions 899 to 1397 of the family's 1533-position model. The record is from RNAcentral.